This is a long non-coding RNA of Chiroxiphia lanceolata (lance-tailed manakin), 253 nucleotides long. RefSeq lists it as uncharacterized. NCBI's taxonomy places the organism in Eukaryota, Metazoa, Chordata, Aves, Passeriformes, Pipridae. The record is from RefSeq and is a predicted model, not a curated record. The transcript is spliced from 3 exons.
CCUUUCCACUCGCUCCGCUCUCUUCAACGGAGACGGAGGGGACCUCCCCCAGCCCCUCUCUCCACCCCCGGGGCUCCGAGGAAGAAGAAGCGGGGAUGUGCCGGCCUCCCGCCCCGCCCCGGGCGGCACCAGUUCUAAGGAACGAGAAAUCGACUUUGUGUAUGACUGUGCUUCCACAAGGGUGAGAGAAGAAGCUCAUUGAGCAUUUCUUGGUGUCCCUUCUUCCAGACAGCUUAGAGGAGGAAUAUCUGGU